Molecule: non-coding RNA, 78 nt
Organism: Schistosoma mattheei
Lineage: Eukaryota; Metazoa; Platyhelminthes; Trematoda; Strigeidida; Schistosomatidae
Source: Rfam
AGCUUUUAGAAUUCGUGCUGAGAUUUCGUCAGACACCAAUCUAUUAGGGCUGACCAGACCUCCAAGAUAAAUGAAGUU